This 2454-nucleotide long non-coding RNA is filed under the name Xyrichtys novacula (pearly razorfish). Lineage: Eukaryota; Metazoa; Chordata; Actinopteri; Labriformes; Labridae. The record is from RNAcentral.
CUGAAAACCCUGUCCUUAAUUCCAUCAAAUCAAGUAAAGAAUCUGGGCGUCAUCUUUGACUCUGAGCUGACUUUUAUCCCACAUAUUAAAAAUAUAACAAAAACAGGGUUUUAUCAUUGAAAGAAUAAAGCCAGAGUCCACCCCUUUCUCUCCUGGGCUAACACAGAGAUGCUAAUGCAUGCUUUUAUCUCCAGUUGUCUUGACAAUUGUUACGCCCUGCUUUCUGGUCUUCCAAAAAGACACAUUGCAAGUUUACAACUGUUGCAAAACUCAGCAGCAGGUGUGCUGACGAGGAUCAGAAGGCGGGCACAUAUUACACCGGUUUUAAAAUCACUGCAUUGGCUCCCUGUGUGCUUUAGGAUUGAUUUUAAGGCCCUUUUAAUGGUUUUUAAAUAUCUUAGGCGUCUUGGACCUUCUAAUCUUUCAGAAUUGCUUUUACAAUAUGAACCCUCGCGGAACCUGAGAUCCUCUGACACUGGCCUUUUAAUAGUCCCCAAAGUGAGAACACGAACUUACGGUGAGGCAUCUUUCUAGCACUAUGGCCCCCGUCUUUGGAAUAGCCUGCCGGAGGACCUUAGGGCCGCAGAGAAUGUUCAUAUUUUUCAAAGCAGGCUCAAGACCCACCUAUUUAAUUUCGCUUUUAAUUAAUGUAUUAUUUUUAAUAAAUAUUUUUAUCCUAUUUUUAUCUUAUUUUAUUUCCUUUAUAUAUAUUAGUCCUCAUUUUACAUGUUAUGUUUAUUCUAUUUUUUCACUUAUUUUUAAAUGGUAUUUUAGCUAUUUAUCAGUAUUUUAUAAUUGUAUGUAGUUUGAUGUUUUUAGCUGAUUUAGUUUAUGUAUUUAUUGCAUUUCUCCAGUGUUUCCUCAGUAGGGGGGCCACCCGCACUGGAGGCUGUGACUGGUUCUGUCUAGGGUUUCUCUGCCUCGUGGUGUGCACUCAGCUUGGCCAGGUGGUGGUCUGCAGCAGUGCUUGCUGCUGUGGGCCCCUAACUGGCCUGUAGCAGGGUGCGCACCCGGGUGGAGGUGUCCUGGCCCUGGGCCGUGAGUGGCCUCCAGUGCAGUCAUCCUCCUGACAUUUCCUAGCUCAUCUGUACUCAGCCACACGCUUUUAAGAUUGCAUCAUCUGUGUGUGCGUGCGUGCGUGCGUGCGUGUGUGUGUGUGUGUUGGGGUAGCGGGCUGGAUAUGGGGGGGCUCAUUGUUUUAAAUUGUAUAGCACUUUGUGCUGCAUUUCUUUUUGCCUGAAAAGUGCUAUAUAAAUAAAGUUUGAUUUGAUUUGAUUUUAAAUUUCCAUCUCCUAUCAUUUCCUCCACUCUGACAUGGGCACACACCAGAACAACCAUGACCAGCAAAUUUCAGCAGACUGAACUAAGACAGCUGAGAAAUCAGAGUCAGCUGAAGGCUUGCUUUUGUGGAUCUACCCUCACCUUUUUAAUAACAGUCUGAUUUGAUGGAACCACAGCUCAGAAAAGAGAGCAGCUAGAAAGAAUUAAGUGGUUGGUUGCCUCCAGAGUUCUGAAUGUCAAACUGACUUUGCUAAAUGAUGUUUGUGAAUAGAAAUGUGGUAGAAAUGGGCCCAAGGUCCAAAGUCCUCAAGAUGUUCCUUGUUAAAUCAGAAAAUAAAUAAAUAAACGUAUCAUUUACUAAGAUGAAAAGACACAAAUUACUAUGGGGUGCCGUUUGUAAAGCAGCCCAUUAUAAAAACAACAGCAAGAUUUGGUCACAUUUAGCAAAACAACAGCAAGAUUUAGUCACAUUUAGCUUCAAACAGCAUUUAAAAAAGUGAUGUGAAUUUUCGGCAGUCAUUUUUUUGCGCAUUUACAACAACAUUUAAAUACUAAAACUAAAUGUUAAAUGUUAAAUCUAAAUGUUAAAUCUAAAUCUAAAUGUUAAAUAUAAAUCUAAAUGUUAAAUCUAAAUCUAAAUGUUAAAUCUAAAUCUAAAUGUUAAAUCUAAAUGUGUUGGGUGAAACUAAAUAUUUAGCUAAUAUGCAAAUUCACGGUCGGAAACCGGAAGUGCCAAAAUAAAAGCUCCAGAAGGUCAUAUUGAUGAUUCUUGUGUCGAAGAAAACGAAUUAAAACCAAUUUAAGGGGGGGACAAAUACUUGAGGUGACGUUUCGUGUUAAUAACUACCUACAAUAGCGACAGCAACAACAAAAACUUUAUUAGAAAGACUCGAGUUUUCAGUGUCGCUUCUCCGUAUGGCGCGGACACUGUACGAACACAGCGUCCGCCACAGCCACCGAUGAAGCUGCAGAGGGAGGAAGAGUUCUGAUGGCUGCUAAUACAGCUCUCCCGAUGUUCUCCGCGAGCGCAGAAUCCCCGGACAUUUUUUGUUCAAUUCAGGCUUGAAGAAGCUUGACCUUACAGCGCGGGCCGGUUUCGGGGUGGUGGUGGUGGGGGAAGGGGGGCGCGCACAAAGGAUGGGCGGAUUGUUGGUCGAAGUGGAAAAUCCGCCC